RNAcentral lists this long non-coding RNA (619 nucleotides) under Mustela putorius furo (domestic ferret). RNAcentral's name for it is "lncRNA (ENSMPUG00000028198.1)". Lineage: Eukaryota; Metazoa; Chordata; Mammalia; Carnivora; Mustelidae. The record is from RNAcentral.
GGUGACUUAGUUGGUUAAGCAUAUGCUUUCAGCUCAGGUCAUGAUCUCAGGGUCCUGAGAUUAAGCUCCCUGCUCAGCAGGUCAGUUUGUCCCUCUCCCUCUGAUCCUCCUUUUUCCUUGAGCUCUCUCUCGCUCCCUGUCUCAAAUAAAUAAAUAACAUCUGAAAAAAAUAAAAACUGAUGGUUUUAUAUUAAGAAAGGUGAGUGGGCAUGAAGGGUACAAUAUAGCAUAAGAUAUUUGAAUAGUAUGGUUUCAAAAGUUUGAAAAUUAAAAUGGUGUGUUUUCUGCCUUUCCUCUCUUUACCUUUUCCUCAAAGGUAAUGAUUGCAUUGUAUUUUACACAAUUCACCACAACAGAGCUGGGAAGAAAAAGACUUUAUUGUGAAAAGAGAGACCGUUUGCUGGUGAACAAUUUAGUGAUUCAACAACUCUAUAUGUUAUGCUGGCCUCACCUCAAGUGUAAUUAGCAUCUAUUGCUGUAAAAGUUAUUUAUAGUAUUAUUGACUAUAUUUCCUAUGCCACUUUUUAUCCUUGUGACUUAACUUAUUUUACAACUGUAAGUUUGUACCUCUUAAUACCCUUCACCUAUUUUGCCUAUCUCCCUACCAUCCUCCCCCCUG